AGGGGAGAGUUCAUUGGGGAACACCAAAAAAGUGGGGAACUGGGGAACAGGGGCAAUUUUGUCAAAAUACUUUCCAAAAUAUAAUGCGUUUAUUAUUAUUAUCAUUUUUUUGAAUGGGAGUCUUUUCCGGUUGCCAUAAGCCGCCACCACCAUCACGAUGAUCCUGAAUAACUGUUAAACCACCGAUUUCCACCAACAGAUUCCGGUGAAGAUCGGCCAAUUUUCAUCUACGUUUAUGAUUUAAACUUGCAAUUCAUCCAAUUUAUCUCCAUUUUGUUUCAAUCCGGAUUACCAACAACAUCAUUCACCCUUUAGAUCUAGGGUUUCAUCGUUCAGAAAUCAAUUCAUCAGAGGCUCAAGCAUGUCAACUGAAAUUGUGAGGUGAGAGGGGUGAUAUCGGAUUUCUUUAACCUAUGUCCUGAUGUAAAGACUCAUACAAAGGCUCCAGCAGAGGCGAUUGAAAAUCUUCUCACACCACUUGGACUGCAGAAAGUAAAGACGGAAAGGAUACAAAGAUUAUCUGAAGGAUAUUUAUGGGAUGACUGGACAUACAUCACUCAACUCCAUGGCGUUGGGAAAUGCCUAUGCAAUAUUUGUUAGAGGGUAGUAGAGGCGCAUGAUACCCGCAGAUCAUAUGCUAGACAGGUACCAGAAAAUUCGCAGACGGUGUUGAGUUCGUGAAAAGCCCCCUAAACUGAUCAGCAAACCAGAAAAGCUGCAGUUAUAAAAGUAAAGCCAAAAAUUUAAAUCAAAAUAUCACAACCAAGUCAUUCAAGAGCUAAAAAUGAUGCAAGUAUUUGGUAUUUGUUUAGGGCCUCUUUAGCAUGAACCAAUAGCAAAUUAGAGUAAGAACAGUUAUAAGGCAUGAAUGCAAUUGCUGCAACAGUUUCACCAGAAAGGUUUGAACCCGGUUGCUCAGUAUUCAUUUUAUAAUCGGUUCGUGGCAUUGUAAUGUCUUAAGUGCGCAGCGCGCUCCCAACAGAAGAAAAUUAAUAGUUAUGUGAAUAUGACCUUUGUGUAUCAAGCCCGUAUAAAUAAUCUGAGAUUUAGCUUAGUAAUUUGAUUGUUUUGUGACAAUAUUCAUUAAGGUUAGGCUGGGUUGAGGUUCUUUUUGCACCUGUGCUAUUGUAAAAGGGUUUUCUUUUUUGACAUUUUCAAGGCCUUGAGUUGUUUGCUUUGUAUCUUGUUCUCCAGUGGUAUUUAAUAAUAUUAG
Molecule: long non-coding RNA, 1213 nt
Filed under: Helianthus annuus (common sunflower)
Lineage: Eukaryota; Viridiplantae; Streptophyta; Magnoliopsida; Asterales; Asteraceae
Description: hypothetical non coding rna
Source: RNAcentral